UGAAUGUUGAUGAAGCCAUUUGCUAAGAAAUGACAAACAAUAGUUAGAUUAAACAAAACAAAACAGACAAGACAACUAAAGAUUUAACACAUUUUAGAACAUGAAAAAACAGAACAUCAACAUCAUCGCAUAGACAUGAACAAAAGUUAAAAAAAAACAAUCAUCUUUAAAGAUCAAUCAAGAUAAAUAAAACGUCACUUUUUAUAAGAAAAUGAAACAAC
RNAcentral lists this long non-coding RNA (221 nucleotides) under Brassica napus (rape). RNAcentral describes it as "long non-coding RNA (BNAP_LNC022661)". Lineage: Eukaryota; Viridiplantae; Streptophyta; Magnoliopsida; Brassicales; Brassicaceae. The record is from RNAcentral.